UACGUAGGGUGCAAGCGUUGUCCGGAAUUAUUGGGCGUAAAGAGCUCGUAGGUGGCUUGUCACGUCGGGUGUGAAAGCUUGGGGCUUAACUUCAGGUCUGCAUUCGAUACGGGCUGGCUAGAGGUAGGUAGGGGAGAACGGAAUUCCUGGUGUAGCGGUGAAAUGCGCAGAUAUCAGGAGGAACACCGGUGGCGAAGGCGGUUCUCUGGGCCUUACCUGACGCUGAGGAGCGAAAGCGUGGGGAGCGAACAGG
Molecule: ribosomal RNA, 253 nt
Filed under: uncultured bacterium
Lineage: Bacteria
Description: partial 16S ribosomal RNA
Rfam family: Bacterial small subunit ribosomal RNA
Source: RNAcentral